GCAGUAGCCGCGGUAAUACGUAGGGUGCGAGCGUUAAUCGGAAUUACUGGGCGUAAAGCGUGCGCAGGCGGUUAUAUAAGACAGAUGUGAAAUCCCCGGGCUCAACCUGGGACCUGCAUUUGUGACUGUAUAGCUAGAGUACGGUAGAGGGGGAUGGAAUUCCGCGUGUAGCAGUGAAAUGCGUAGAUAUGCGGAGGAACACCGAUGGCGAAGGCAAUCCCCUGGACCUGUACUGACGCUCAUGCACGAAAGCGUGGGGAGCAAACAGGAUUAGAUACCCCCGUAGUCCCUGUCUCUUAUAA
RNAcentral lists this ribosomal RNA (302 nucleotides) under uncultured bacterium. RNAcentral's name for it is "partial 16S ribosomal RNA". It matches the Rfam family "Bacterial small subunit ribosomal RNA", at positions 508 to 809 of the family's 1533-position model. The record is from RNAcentral.